AAGAGCCGUAUAACGGGAGACUGUUACGUACGGUUCUGUGAGGGCCCGGGGGUGAGAUCCCCCGGGCUACUCGGC
RNAcentral lists this non-coding RNA (75 nucleotides) under Micromonospora sp. Llam0. The record is from RNAcentral. Lineage: Bacteria; Bacillati; Actinomycetota; Actinomycetes; Micromonosporales; Micromonosporaceae.